RNAcentral lists this ribosomal RNA (253 nucleotides) under uncultured bacterium. RNAcentral describes it as "partial 16S ribosomal RNA". It matches the Rfam family "Bacterial small subunit ribosomal RNA", at positions 524 to 776 of the family's 1533-position model. The record is from RNAcentral.
UACGUAGGGUGCAGGCGUUAAUCGGAAUUACUGGGCGUAAAGCGUGCGCAGGCGGUUUCUUAAGUCAGAUGUGAAAGCCCCGGGCUUAACCUGGGAACUGCGUUUGAAACUGGGAGACUAGAGUGUGGCAGAGGGGGGUGGAAUUCCACGUGUAGCAGUGAAAUGCGUAGAUAUGUGGAGGAAUACCGGUGGCGAAGGCGGCAUCCUGGACCGAGAUUGACACUGAUGAGCGAAAGCUAGGGGAGCAAACGGG